GUGGGGUGCGAGCGUUGUUCGGAAUUACUGGGCGUAAAGCGCGUGUAGGCGGCUCAUUAUGUCAGGUGUGAAAGCCCUCGGCCUAACCGAGGAAGUGCGCCUGAAACUGAUAGGCUUGAGUACGAGAGAGGAGGACGGAAUUCCCAGUGUAGAGGUGAAAUUCGUAGAUAUUGGGAGGAACACCGGUGGCGAAAGCGGUUCUCUGGAUCGAUACUGACGCUAAGACGCGAAAGCGUGGGGAGCAAACAGGAUUAGAUACCCUGGUAGUCCACGCCGUAAACGAUGGAUAUUAGUUGUUGCGAGUUUAACCCUCGCAGUGACGACGCUAACGCAUUAAAUAUCCCGCCUGGGGAUUACGGCCGCAAGGUUA
Molecule: ribosomal RNA, 370 nt
Filed under: uncultured bacterium
Lineage: Bacteria
Description: bacterial SSU rRNA
Rfam family: Bacterial small subunit ribosomal RNA
Source: RNAcentral